This 301-nucleotide ribosomal RNA is filed under the name uncultured bacterium. Its description in RNAcentral is "partial 16S ribosomal RNA". It matches the Rfam family "Bacterial small subunit ribosomal RNA", at positions 509 to 807 of the family's 1533-position model. The record is from RNAcentral.
CAGUAGCCGCGGUAACACGUAGGUGGCAAGCGUUGUCCGGAAUUAUUGGGCGUAAAGGGCUCGCAGGCGGUUUCUUAAGUCUGAUGUGAAAGCCCCCGGCUCAACCGGGGAGGGUCAUUGGAAACUGGGAAACUUGAGUGCAGAAGAGGAGAGUGGAAUUCCACGUGUAGCGGUGAAAUGCGUAGGGAUGUGGAGGAACACCAGUGGCGAAGGCGACUCUCUGGUCUGUAACUGACGCUGAGGAGCGAAAGCGUGGGGAGCGAACAGGAUUAGAUACCCGUGUAGUCCAUGUCUCUUAUAC